Molecule: ribosomal RNA, 292 nt
Filed under: uncultured bacterium
Lineage: Bacteria
Description: partial 16S ribosomal RNA
Rfam family: Bacterial small subunit ribosomal RNA
Source: RNAcentral
GUGUCAGCCGCCGCGGUAAUACAGAGGGUGCGAGCGUUAAUCGGAAUUACUGGGCGUAAAGCGCACGUAGGUGGCGACGUAAGUCGGGUGUGAAAUCCCUGGGCUCAACCUGGGAACGGCAUUCGAGACUGUGUUGCUGGAGUACGGAAGAGGAGGGCGGAAUUCCCGGUGUAGCGGUGAAAUGCGUAGAUAUCGGGAGGAACAUCAGUGGCGAAGGCGGCCCUCUGGUCCAGUACUGACACUCAAGUGCGAAAGCGUGGGGAGCAAACAGGAUUAGAAACCCGCGUAGUCC